Long non-coding RNA from Carassius auratus (goldfish), 1639 nucleotides. RefSeq lists it as uncharacterized. The transcript has 2 exons. The record is from RefSeq and is a predicted model, not a curated record. NCBI's taxonomy places the organism in Eukaryota, Metazoa, Chordata, Actinopteri, Cypriniformes, Cyprinidae.
UUCCUUGCUUCUUCUCCUGUGGCUUCUGCUUAAUCUUUCCUUUUCUCCAUCCUCCCUCUUUCAGAAAGUACUACCAAAUAACCUCUCCCUUUCCCUUGUCCCAUCUUUUCCCUCUUUCCUCCUCCUUAUUCUUUCCCUUUCUUUCUCGACCCUUAAAUCCAAUGCCAACAGUCCCUCAUGUGCUACUCAGCCACCUGAACAGCGAACCAGUGCCCACUGCCAGUAUGACCCGAUUGGCUCGAUCUCGCACUCACUCUGCCUCCAGCAUGGGCUCAGCAGACGGCUCCCGCAGCCGCGCACAUACCAGUUCACAGAUGGAGGGCGCCACUGGCGGUCCGGUCAAUGACAACCAGACCAGACCGCAGACCAUGGAGGUGUCCUGCUAAAGCACCCAGAACCAAGCCACCAUUUCACCUGGGAUCAUCCACGUGUGGCACUUCUGCACUUCAGAUGGCUUUCUGUCCAUUUUGGGGUUUUGUUUCCACUGUUACUCGUUCUACUUGUUCUCCUGUGGCCAGAGAGUGCUGGUCUAAUGAAGGGAUGCAUUGUUUGAUGUCUAGUAAUCCAUGUAUUUUACAUAUUGGAAUAUUUUUCCACUGCAUGGAGGCACUAAUCUUUUGCUGAUGUUUUUACCUUGAUUUGAAUUGGCUUACUACUUUAUUUCUCCAUUCUGUUAUAUUUGUGUCAUCCUUUGGAGAUUCAUUUCCACUAUGGAUAUGCUUCUUGUGUGUAUAUUUUGCUGGAGGCUGUUAUAUUUUGAACAUUAAGAGGGUGUUCUUGUUUGUAGCCGGAGAGAUUUAGUUCCCUCUCUUGCUCUCUCUAAGGUCUUCCUGCCCCGUGUUUACUAUAGAGAUGACCAAACCACUUCACUUUCUCCUAAUCCAAUUUUUUAGUUCAGUUUCUGCUGCUCUCAACCUAUGCUAUCGGCUAUUAUAGUUUGCUAUUAAUUGACUGUCUGUCAUUUGUAGUGUUACUAGAAAACGUAAUCUACUGGCUAGCAUGUCCCUAUUUAAAGUGUACAGUAGACAUUUAUGUUAGUAUUACUUAUAUUUAAUCUUUCUGCAAAUGGUUUAUUCAGUUUAAUUAAAUUCUGUGUAAAUGGAGAACUUGUAUUGAGUUUUAGACCAGAACCCCCUAAUAGCAAAGACGUUGCUUAGGUUUGCACUUAACUUGAUGUAAAAUAUUUUUCACAGCCUGUGCUUGGGAGAUCAGCUACACCAAACAAGUAACAAGUAACUGAAGCUAAGAUCUGCAGCUUGUUCAGAUAACAUUUACCAUAGAGGGCAUCUGGAGGUAUAAAACGGCAUGAUUCCUCUAAAGGCACUAGACCGUAGUGGUAAAUGAUCUGUAUACUUUUGGCUUAAGAGUCUCUAUUCUUUCUGUACAGCGGGCUGAUGUUCCUAUAACCUCUUAAUAUUUUGACUACUGUUAGAUUUUGACGUUUUAUUGUUCUUGGCAUUUAUUUCAAUGGAUGGCAAUUCCCUGUUGAUUUGCUGAUUGUACCUCUGCCUUGAGUGAGUUUGUGAUGGUGGGUUGUGCUUUGUCCUCCAAGCAUUUAGGGGGCGCUGUACUGCAUACUAUCUACUGAGUAUACCGAUUUGUACGAAUAUUGAAAUAAAGUAGUUGUACAUAAAACUUG